AAGUCGUAACAAGGUUUCCGUAGGUGAACCUGCGGAAGGAUCAUUAAUGAAAUUUAUGACUGGAGUUGUAGCUGGCCCUUUAAAACGGGCAUGUGCACGCUCCUUUCACUAAUCCACACACACCUGUGCACCUUCGCGGGGGUCUUCUUUUCGGAGAAGGCUCGCGUCCCUUUACACACCCUUUGUAUGUCUUAAGAAUGUCUACUCGAUGUGAUGAAACGCAUCUAAUACAACUUUCAACAACGGAUCUCUUGGCUCUC
Molecule: unclassified non-coding RNA, 260 nt
Filed under: Stereum sanguinolentum
Lineage: Eukaryota; Fungi; Basidiomycota; Agaricomycetes; Russulales; Stereaceae
Description: partial internal transcribed spacer region
Rfam family: Eukaryotic small subunit ribosomal RNA (bases 1-46)
Source: RNAcentral